Molecule: unclassified non-coding RNA, 359 nt
Filed under: uncultured bacterium
Lineage: Bacteria
Description: contains 16S-23S intergenic spacer region
Source: RNAcentral
UCCCGGUUGCUCCGGGCAGUCUCGCCAGAAAAAUACAACUGACGACAGGGGUUGCGCUCGUUGCGGGACUUAACCCAACACCUCACGGCACGAGCUGACGACGGCCAUGCAGCAUCUGUGACGAGGCCCCGAAGGGAGACCGGCUUUCACCGGCUGUCCUCGCCAUGUCAAGCCCUGGUAAGGUUCUUCGCGUCGCUUCGAAUUAAACCACAUGCUCCGCUGCUUGUGCGGGCCCCCGUCAAUUCCUUUGAGUUUCACCGUUGCCGGCGUACUCCCCAGGUGGGAUGCUUAAUGCUUUCGCUUGGCCGCUGAACCAGUUGGCCCAACAGCGGGCAUCCAUCGUUUACCGCGCGGACUAC